Molecule: non-coding RNA, 1419 nt
Organism: Anas platyrhynchos (mallard)
Lineage: Eukaryota; Metazoa; Chordata; Aves; Anseriformes; Anatidae
Source: RefSeq, a predicted model, not a curated record
AUCACAUCAGCUCCACCAGGUGUCCCACAUGCCAAAGCACCUCUGUCAAGGCUUUAGGUUUGCAGCUGGAAGUUUUUGCAACCUGUUUUCUCCCACAGUUUCCUAAUUUCUUCACUGUGCCUACCAUUAAACACUGCUGAAAUUGCCUGCAGCUGUGUCCCUUAGUACUUUAUGGGCCCCAGGCCUCAGGUUUUCUGUUAAUCUCUGUAUUUAGCCUACAGCUGUUUGGAUCACUGGUGGGUUCAGCAGAAGGAGCAGAUGCAAUAACUCAUGAGGUGUGAGAAGCACAUCAGUAUCUGCCUCUGACCUCUGAUUUUCCUUGUUGUCUGGGCCGUGUGCCACAUCAUCCUGUUCUGUGAGUGAGUCCCCUUCAAAAUCUCACAGCUCAGGAGAAACCAGGUCAAGGAAGAGGAGGAUCUGAAGUGGGGACUGAGACCAAAAGAGCAGCCUUCAAAUGUUCUGUGGGAGCCACAGGAUCCCCUUUACUGGUUCAGCAUUAGGUUCCUCUUCUGUCUGCAUCCACCCUUCCUGAGGCUACUGCUCUUGGUGCCUGUAGUGGCGAUGAAAUCCUCCGUGCAUUAUUUUCUGCAGUUCCACCAGCACCUGAGGCAGACCCUGCCCCCCCAUACCCUCAGAGCUGGGGGGCUCCAUGGGACUGGGCCCUGCGUGGAGGGCUCAGGGCACCUCUCUGCAGCAAAACAGGAUGGAAUGAAUUGUGACCCAGAUUCUCUGACUACAGAUACACAGAUUGUGGUGACCAACUCUGAUAAAGAUGUCUACAAAACUGCCAGAUGAACCGCACCCUGUGAGACAAGCUGCUUUGAAAGUGUGUGGUUAAUUCUGCAAUCUCCCGAGACAGGUCUUUUUCUGUUUUACUUUAUGUGAGCUCAAGGCAGGUUGAUAAUAAAUUGAAAUUUAUUCUUAAGUUAAAUAAGAAUACUCUUGCAACACACGGCACCAGGUUGAACCAAAAUGGCACAUAUUCUUAUGCAGAUAAAGCAUAUGAUGAUCUUUGAUCUGUUUGUUAUGAACAACUGAUUAGAAUGAAGCAACUUUUGCAAUUAAAAAAAAAAAGCUUUCUCCUGUAAGACUGUCACCAUAUCAAUGUCAUCCAUGUGGACGUUCCUCAUAAACAACCAAGGAUUUUCUCAUGUUGUUUUCCCCCCUUCUUUGUUUUUUAAACCUUCUUGCUUGAUCCAGAACAGCUCACCCCUGACACACGCAUUAUUCACAGUUCAGAGCUGGAGCCAUGUCAGUUAUCCCAGACAUGCCCCAGAAUUGUUGUCUGUGGGCUGACAUUUCUCUAGCCAGAAGGACAGCAAGGAACAGUCACUCUGGCCAUAAAUCCCAUGCACAGAUAGCAGCUUAGAGAAAAGUCAAGGACUGGAGGAUUUUCCAAAAUGUUAGCUUUCUUUACAG